Molecule: ribosomal RNA, 406 nt
Filed under: uncultured bacterium
Lineage: Bacteria
Description: partial 16S ribosomal RNA
Rfam family: Bacterial small subunit ribosomal RNA
Source: RNAcentral
AUUGAACGCUGGCGGCAGGCCUAACACAUGCAAGUCGAACGAGUGGCGGACGGGUGAGUAAUGUCUGGGAAACUGCCUGAUGGAGGGGGAUAACUACUGGAAACGGUAGCUAAUACCGCAUACCCUCGGAGUGCCCAAGGUGGGAUUAGCUGGUUGGGGGGGUAACGGCUCCCCAAGGCGACGAUCCCUAGCGGGUCUGAGAGGAUGCCCAGCCACACUGGAACUGAGACACGGUCCAGACUCCUACGGGAGGCAGCAGGGGGGAAUAGUGCACAAUGGGCGCAAGCCUGAUGCAGCCAUGCCGCGUGUAUGAAGAAGGCCUUCGGGUUGUAAAGUACGUUCAGCGGGGAGGCGUUACCCGCAGAAGAAGCACCGGCUAACUCCGUGCCAGCAGCCGCGGUAAUUC